This 96-nucleotide ribosomal RNA is filed under the name Finegoldia magna. Its description in RNAcentral is "partial 16S ribosomal RNA". It matches the Rfam family "Bacterial small subunit ribosomal RNA", at positions 1446 to 1533 of the family's 1533-position model. Lineage: Bacteria; Bacillati; Bacillota; Tissierellia; Tissierellales; Peptoniphilaceae. The record is from RNAcentral.
UGAGGAGCAGUCGAAGGUAGGAUUGAUGACUGGGGUGAAGUCGUAACAAGGUAGCCGUAUCGGAAGGUGCGGCUGGAUCACCUUCUUUCUAAGGAG